UGGGGAAUAUUGCACAAUGGGGGAAACCCUGAUGCAGCAACGCCGCGUGAAGGAAGACGGUUUUCGGAUUGUAAACUUCUUUUCUUAGUGAAGAAACAAACGACGGUAGCUAAGGAAUAAGCAUCGGCUAACUAUGUGCCAGCAGCCGCGGUAAUACGUAGGAUGCGAGCGUUAUCCGGAUUUACUGGGUGUAAAGGGAGCGCAGGCGGGACUGCAAGUUGGAUGUGAAAUACCGCAGCUUAACUGCGGAGCUGCAUCCAAAAACUGUAGUUCUUGAGUGGAGUAGAGGCAAGCGGAAUUCCGAGUGUAGCGGUGAAAUGCGUAGAUAUUCGGAGGAACACCAGUGGCGAAGGCGGCUUGCUGGGCUCUAACUGACGCUGAGGCUCGAAAAGUGUGGGGAGCAAACAGGAUUAGAUACC
Molecule: ribosomal RNA, 419 nt
Filed under: uncultured bacterium
Lineage: Bacteria
Description: bacterial SSU rRNA
Rfam family: Bacterial small subunit ribosomal RNA
Source: RNAcentral